UCUAGUUAGCAUUAUACCGUGAAACUGCGAAUGGCUCAUUAAAUCAGUUAUCGUUUAUUUGAUAAUACCUUACUACUUGGAUAACCGUGGUAAUUCUAGAGCUAAUACAUGCUGAAAAUCCCGACUUCGGAAGGGAUGUGUUUAUUAGAUAAAAAACCAAUGCCCUUCGGGGCUUUUUGGUGAUUCAUGAUAACUUUACGGAUCGCAUAGCCUUGCGCUGGCGACGGUUCAUUCAAAUUUCUGCCCUAUCAACUUUCGAUGGUAAGGUAUUGGCUUACCAUGGUUUCAACGGGUAACGGGGAAUUAGGGUUCGAUUCCGGAGAGGGAGCCUGAGAAACGGCUACCACAUCCAAGGAAGGCAGCAGGCGCGCAAAUUACCCAAUCCCGACACGGGGAGGUAGUGACAAUAAAUACUGAUACAGGGCUCUUUUGGGUCUUGUAAUUGGAAUGAGUACAAUUUAAACCUCUUAACGAGGAACAAUUGGAGGGCAAGUCUGGUGCCAGCAGCCGCGGUAAUUCCAGCUCCAAUAGCGUAUAUUAAAGUUGUUGCAGUUAAAAAGCUCGUAGUUGAAACUUGGGCCUGGCUGGCGGGUCCGCCUCACCGCGUGCACUCGUCCGGCCGGGCCUUCCUUCUGAAGAACCUCAUGCCCUUCACUGGGCGUGCUGGGGAAUCAGGACUUUUACUUUGAAAAAAUUAGAGUGUUCAAAGCAGGCCUUUGC
RNAcentral lists this ribosomal RNA (720 nucleotides) under Alternaria alternata. Its description in RNAcentral is "SSU rRNA". It matches the Rfam family "Eukaryotic small subunit ribosomal RNA", at positions 64 to 794 of the family's 1831-position model. Lineage: Eukaryota; Fungi; Ascomycota; Dothideomycetes; Pleosporales; Pleosporaceae. The record is from RNAcentral.